This is a long non-coding RNA of Lolium rigidum, 177 nucleotides long. RefSeq lists it as uncharacterized. The transcript is spliced from 3 exons. The record is from RefSeq and is a predicted model, not a curated record. Lineage: Eukaryota; Viridiplantae; Streptophyta; Magnoliopsida; Poales; Poaceae.
UGAUGACGAGAGAUUGGACUGUGGUUUUGUUGAUGAGGUCUUAGUUGGCGAUAAUUCUUCUUACGACUAUUACGGUGAUUCAGACUUGGAGACUAUAGAAGAACCUGUUAGAAGAAGACAUGUGAAAUCAGUUGGUAAGAAAAAGAAUGGAUCAGAGGAUGAAGAUGAGAGUGAUAC